UACGGCGGGUAGAGGGAGGAGGGGGAGGAGGAGGAGGAGCGGCCGCGCCGCCGCCGCCGCGGCCGGCUAAGGGGCUGGGGUGGCGGAGGGCGCCGCUUCUUGUUCUGGUAGAUGCUCGAGGAGGGCGAGAAGCCGGAGGGGCGCCCGCAGAAGGGCCGGUUGCAGUGGCGGAAGAGCGAGCGGCCGUUGCCGUCGGAGCGGCACCUGGAGCGCCCCGGGACGAUGCAGGUGAAGCUCAUGGAGUGGAUGAAGCUCGGCGCGCAGUGCCCGCACGAGGCGAUGCCGAGGGAGUGGCUCGACCUCCCGCACGUCCAGGCGGCGAAGGAGCAGACCAAGUCGCAGCAGGCGCAGUUCCAGCUGGACGGGGGCGGGGGCGCGAAGCAGAUGGAGCUGUAGCCGACCUAGUGGGCGUUCGAGGGGCGGCGGCUGAAGGUCAGGCAGGUACGGACGCUCCGGCCGUUCGCCUCCUCCUCCACGGCGGAGAGGAGGCGCGAGCGGCGGCGGCGGCGAACCAAGGUCCUGAAGAAACGGGUUAAAAUCUCCUACGUCUUCCAGAUUAAAACACCGUCGUAGUGUGCUCGAAUGUCGGAAGGCGCAGGAUUUCUUUAACUUCGUGAUGUGAGGGUAAACAACUAACAAUGUGUGUAACAUACAGAGACGCCCAUGAGCUGCGACGACAGACUCGAGAUGUAAACAAGCUCUCUGCGUGCUAGAAAUUCUUUCUAAACAUAACCAAUAAAAUCAAGUUUGACAACUACGACACGAGGUGCGAAGUUAUGUUAUCGUGAAGACAUCACCGUACAUAGUAGUAAAACAACCUUGAGAUUGUUCAGAGGUGUCUUCAAAGGAGGAACGCACAGUUAUCGUCGUUGGUGAGACGACGUGUUACUCGCUUGGACAAACAUAUUUUAUGGUUCAGGACUCAAAGAGUUGUUCAUGUUUCAACUCAGUAGAUAAAACCUUGCCUCCCUCAUGCACCAUAUGUGUAAGUCCGAAAGUCAAAG
RNAcentral lists this ribosomal RNA (1004 nucleotides) under Triticum aestivum (bread wheat). RNAcentral describes it as "partial small subunit ribosomal RNA". Lineage: Eukaryota; Viridiplantae; Streptophyta; Magnoliopsida; Poales; Poaceae. The record is from RNAcentral.